This 747-nucleotide small RNA is filed under the name Pongo abelii (Sumatran orangutan). RNAcentral describes it as "retained intron". The record is from RNAcentral. Lineage: Eukaryota; Metazoa; Chordata; Mammalia; Primates; Hominidae.
UGGAGAGAUGGAGCCUGAACCUGGGUACCGUGGGGACAGAGAGAAGUCAGGUGGGUGCAUGGCCUUAGGAGUGAUGGGGGAUUAGAAUUUGGGAUUUCCCUCUUCUGGGGUCAGGGGAUGAGGGUAACAUCCUCCCUUCCUAUCCCCUACCCCCUCCCACAGCCACAGAGUCGACGCCAGGAGAAAGGGGGGAGGAGAAGCCGUUGGAUGGACAGGAACACAGGGAGAGGCCGGAGGGGGAAACAGGGGAUUUGGGCAAGAGAGGUAAUGGGUGGAAGGACUGGACACCUGCGUCCCGGAGGGCAUCAGGGGAGGUGGAGUCUGGGGAACCGAAUGCUUGGGUCCUGGGCGGGUAGCUGUUUGAAAGGCCAGUACAGUACAGUACAGAUAGUAGUCUUGGGACGUGGGAGGAGGGUGUCCUGAGGUGUGAGCUUUGCCCUGUCUGUCCUAGCAGAAGAUGCAAAAGGUGACCGGGAGCUUCGACCAGGGCCUCGAGAUGAGCCACGGUCCAAUGGGCGACGAGAGGAAAAGACAGAGAAGCCCCGGUUCAUGUUCAAUAUCGCAGAUGGUGGCUUCACAGAGCUUCACACACUGUGGCAGAAUGAGGAACGGGCAGCUAUUUCCUCGGGGAAACUCAAUGAGAUCUGGCACAGAAGACAUGACUAUUGGCUUCUGGCUGGGAUUGUCCUGUAUCCUUUGAUACACAUGCAAGAAGGAAAAGGUUCUCUCAAGCUGGCAAAAAAAAAA